This 497-nucleotide ribosomal RNA is filed under the name uncultured bacterium. RNAcentral's name for it is "partial 16S ribosomal RNA". It matches the Rfam family "Bacterial small subunit ribosomal RNA", at positions 28 to 507 of the family's 1533-position model. The record is from RNAcentral.
GAUGAACGCUGGCGGCGUGCCUAAUACAUGCAAGUCGAGCGAACAGACGAGGCGCUUGCUCCUCUGACGUUAGCGGCGGACGGGUGAGUAACACGUGGAUAACCUACCUAUAAGACUGGGAUAACUUCGGGAAACCGGAGCUAAUACCGGAUAAUAUAUUGAACCGCAUGGUUCAAUAGUGAAAGACGGUUUUGCUGUCACUUCUCGAUGGAUCCGCGCCGCAUUAGCUAGUUGGUAAGGUAACGGCUUACCAAGGCAACGAUGCGUAGCCGACCUGAGAGGGUGAUCGGCCACACUGGAACUGAGACACGGUCGAGACUCCUACGGGAGGCAGCAGUAGGGAAUCUGCCGCAAUGGGCGAAAGCGUGACGGAGCAACGCCGCGUGAGUGAUGAAGGUCUUCGGAUCGUAAAACUCUGUUAUUAGGGAAGAACAAAUGUGUAAGUAACUAUGCACGUCUUGACGGUACCUAAUCAGAAAGCCACGGCUAACUACGUG